RNAcentral lists this ribosomal RNA (253 nucleotides) under uncultured bacterium. RNAcentral describes it as "partial 16S ribosomal RNA". It matches the Rfam family "Bacterial small subunit ribosomal RNA", at positions 524 to 776 of the family's 1533-position model. The record is from RNAcentral.
UACAGAGGGUGCGAGCGUUGUUCGGAAUUAUUGGGCGUAAAGGGCGCGUAGGCGGUGCGGUAAGUCACUUGUGAAAUCUCCUGGCUCAACUGGGAGCUUGCAGGCGAAACUGCCGUGCUGGAGUGUGGGAGAGGUGCGUGGAAUUCCCGGUGUAGCGGUGAAAUGCGUAGAUAUCUGCAGGAACGCCCGUGGCGAAAGCGGCGCGCUGGACCACUACUGACGCUGAGGAACGAAAGCUAGGGGAGCAAACAGG